UACAACAUAAUCUAAAGCCCCUUUCACAAUAGUAGGCCUUUUCAUGCAACCAUGAAAGAGACACUGCUAAAAUGAGUAAUAAGAGGGCCGCCCCUCUCCCAACACCUAUGUAACUCAGAAACGAACCCAUCACUGAAAAUUAACGCCCCCAACAAAAGAGGGCCCUGGGGAAAACCCAACAUAACCUAGAAAUCCACCCAAAACCUAGCGUUAACCCUACACAGGUGUGUUUUAGGAAAGACUAAAAGAAAAAGARGGAACUCGGCAAACAUUGGCCUCGCCUGUUUACCWAAAACAUCGCCUCUUGCAACAACUGUAUAAGAGGUCCCGCCUGCCCUGUGACUACAUCAGUUUAACGGCCGCGGUAUUUUGACCGUGCGAAGGUAGCGUAAUCACUUGUCUUUUAAWUGGAGACCUGURUGAAUGGCAUAACGAGGGCUAAGCUGUCUCCUUUUUCCAGUCAAUGAAAUUGAUCUUCCCGUGCAGAAGCGGGAAUACAACCAUAAGACGAGAAGACCUAUGGAGCUUAAGACACAAGGUACCCAUGUAAAAUCCCUGGCUAAACAGAACUAACCAAGUGGUACCUGCCUUUUGUCUUUGGUUGGGGCGAACGUGGGGAAAGCAAGCAUCCCCCAUGCGGAAUGGGGCCCACUCYCUUWAAGCUARAGSKAYAGCUCCAGCUAACAKAAUAUCUGACCKACAAGAUCCGGCRWAGCCGAUCAACGGACCGAGUUACCCKAGGGAUAACAGCGCAAUCCCCUUUUAGAGCCCAUAUCGACAAGGGGGUUUACGACCUCGAUGUUGGAUCAGGACAUCCUAAUGGUGCASCCGCUAUUAAGGGUUCGUUUGUUCAWCGAUUAMAGUCCUACGUGAUCUGAGUUCAGACCGGRGAAAUCCAGGUCAGUUUCUAUCYAUGAGUGCUCUUUUCUAGUACGAAAGGACCGRAAAGAAGAGCCCAUGCUAKAAGUAUGCCUCCCCCUUACCUAAGGAAGCCAACUAAAAUAGGUAAAARGGCACAGCACCCUGCCYKARAAAAAGACGUGCAUCA
This 1048-nucleotide ribosomal RNA is filed under the name Gillichthys mirabilis (long-jawed mudsucker). RNAcentral describes it as "partial 16S ribosomal RNA". It matches the Rfam family "Bacterial large subunit ribosomal RNA", at positions 1495 to 2925 of the family's 2925-position model. Lineage: Eukaryota; Metazoa; Chordata; Actinopteri; Gobiiformes; Gobiidae. The record is from RNAcentral.